GUGUACGGCCAUACUACUCCGAAUGCACCCAAUCUUGUCUGAUCUUGGAAGCUAAGCUGGGUUGGGCCUGGUUAAUACCUGGGUGUGGCAGAAGAGUCCCAGAAGGAAUGUAGCCUCGCCGCCCCCA
Molecule: ribosomal RNA, 127 nt
Filed under: Carlito syrichta (Philippine tarsier)
Lineage: Eukaryota; Metazoa; Chordata; Mammalia; Primates; Tarsiidae
Source: RNAcentral